Leucobacter chromiiresistens is the source of this 117-nucleotide ribosomal RNA. The record is from Rfam. NCBI's taxonomy places the organism in Bacteria, Bacillati, Actinomycetota, Actinomycetes, Micrococcales, Microbacteriaceae.
UACGGCGGCUAUAGCGUCAGGGAAACGCCCGGUCACAUUCCGAACCCGGAAGCUAAGACUGACUGCGCCGAUGGUACUGCAAGGGGGACCUUGUGGGAGAGUAGGACACCGCCGGAC